CAUAGCGACUAUCGUGGCAUAUCAAUAAGCGGAGGAAAAGAAACUAACAAGGAUUCCCCUAGUAACGGCGAGUGAAGCGGGAAGAGCUCAAAUUUGAAAUCUUCAAGGUUUGACCUUGACGAAUUGUAGUUUAAAGAAGUGUUUUCGGUUAGUAGGAGUAGUCAAAAGUUCUUUGGAAUAGGACAUCAUAGAGGGUGAGAAUCCCGUAUUUGAUCAUUCUUUCUAGCUUUGUGAUACACUUUCAAAGAGUCGGAUUGUUUGGGAAUGCAGUCCAAAAUGGGUGGUAAAUUUCAUCUAAAGCUAAAUAUUGGCGAGAGACCGAUAGCGAACAAGUACCGUGAGGGAAAGAUGAAAAGAACUUUGAAAAGAGAGUUAAACAGUACGUGAAAUUGUCAAAAGGGAAGCGUUUGACACCAGUGUUGUUUUUCCGAAAAUCAAUUAAAAAUUGAUUCAUGCCUAGGUUGUAUUGACCUUAUCAGCUUGCAAUUUAGUUUUGGGUCUCUUUUUGAUGCACUUUUCGGUUAACAAGUCAACAUCAAUUUCCUUUGCUGUAAAAAGGUAAGAGGAAGGUGGCUUCAAUUUCGGUUGAAGUGUUUAUAGCCUUUUAUCUCUGCAGUCGGGGAGAUUGAGGUCUGCAGCGUAGAUCCUUCGGGGCUAGAUACAUUUAUGCUAAGUUAUAGCUUUUCAUAGACAACUUGUUGACUAUGUUUAGUCAUGUAGCUUACUCGUAAGUGCUAUUUUACCUACGCUUAGGAUGUUGAUAGUCACAGCGUGUAC
RNAcentral lists this ribosomal RNA (777 nucleotides) under uncultured Neocallimastigales. Its description in RNAcentral is "partial large subunit ribosomal RNA". It matches the Rfam family "Eukaryotic large subunit ribosomal RNA", at positions 22 to 644 of the family's 3401-position model. Lineage: Eukaryota; Fungi; Neocallimastigomycota; Neocallimastigomycetes; Neocallimastigales. The record is from RNAcentral.